Molecule: unclassified non-coding RNA, 253 nt
Filed under: uncultured Halomonadaceae bacterium
Lineage: Bacteria; Pseudomonadati; Pseudomonadota; Gammaproteobacteria; Oceanospirillales; Halomonadaceae
Description: contains 16S-23S intergenic spacer region
Rfam family: Bacterial small subunit ribosomal RNA
Source: RNAcentral
UACGGAGGGUGCGAGCGUUAAUCGGAAUUACUGGGCGUAAAGCGCGCGUAGGUGGCUUGAUAAGCCGGUUGUGAAAGCCCCGGGCUCAACCUGGGAACGGCAUCCGGCACUGUCAGGCUAGAGUGCAGGAGAGGAAGGUAGAAUUACCGGUGCAGCGGUGAAAUGCGUAGAUAUCGGGAGGAACACCAGUGGCGAAGGCGGCCUCCUGGACUGACACUGACAUUGAGGUGCGAAAGCGUGGGUAGCAAACAGG